RNAcentral lists this ribosomal RNA (504 nucleotides) under uncultured Glomeraceae. RNAcentral's name for it is "SSU rRNA". It matches the Rfam family "Eukaryotic small subunit ribosomal RNA", at positions 569 to 1078 of the family's 1831-position model. The record is from RNAcentral. Lineage: Eukaryota; Fungi; Glomeromycota; Glomeromycetes; Glomerales; Glomeraceae.
AGCAGCCGCGGUAAUUCCAGCUCCAAUAGCGUAUAUUAAAGUUGUUGCAGUUAAAAAGCUCGUAGUUGAAUUUCGAGACCGGUCUACUGGUCGUGCUUUUGUACGUACUGGUAUAAUCGGUUUCUCUCUUCUGACGAACUAUAAUGCCAUUAAUUUGGUGUUUUAGGGAAUCAGGACUGUUACUUUGAAAAAUUAGAGUGUUUAAAGCAGGCUCACGCUUGAAUACAUUAGCAUGGAGUAACGAAAUAGGACGUUUGAUUCUAUUUUGUUGGUUUCUAGGAUCGACGUAAUGAUUAAUAGGGAUAGUUGGGGGCAUUAGUAUUCAAUUGUCAGAGGUGAAAUUCUUGGAUUUAUUGAAGACUAACUACUGCGAAAGCAUUUGCCAAGGAUGUUUUCAUUAAUCAAGAACGAAAGUUAGGGGAUCGAAGACGAUCAGAUACCGUCGUAGUCUUAACCAUAAAUUAUGCCGACUAGGGAUCGGGAUGAUGUUAAAUUAAUGACUCA